Long non-coding RNA from Armigeres subalbatus, 868 nucleotides. RefSeq lists it as uncharacterized. The record is from RefSeq and is a predicted model, not a curated record. The transcript is spliced from 3 exons. NCBI's taxonomy places the organism in Eukaryota, Metazoa, Arthropoda, Insecta, Diptera, Culicidae.
UGAUAGACAAAAUGUCAAUAAGAAAAAACCUCAGGGAAAAUCAAAGUCCUAGCCAUUCUCUUUAUUUUCCAUUAAGUUUAAAAGGUUUUAAAUCAUUUGUGUUAUUAGAAUAUCGCUGUUAGUACAUAGAUUCCAUGACCACUAAAAUUUCUGUGCAAUACGGUGACUUUUUGGUUUUUAUGUCGGAGCAACGGAGACCGGAAGCGCUGAAAGUACAGUAUACCUCCUGUGAGUCUCCGGCUUCUAAUUUAAAGGAACCUUUGGUCACCGGAUGGUAUAAAAACCGCGAAAGGAUCCAAUCAGAUUAGAAGAGGCCAAAGUACUGUGCGCCUACCAAUUUAUAAUAAAUGUUACCGGUUUCAAUGAUGUAAUUUGAAUUGGAAGCAAGUGGAAAAAUCUUUCGGUCCAGAUGAGCAUGAACAACGACGAAAGUUGAGUAUUUUUCCAGCAGACCAGACCCUUCCUUAUUUCGGAAAAUUCACUUCGGCGAUUAUUAAAAAGGCAAUAAACAAGAAGAAAUGCAUGAUCUGGACGAGGAUUCUUAUCCUCACGUGAAGUUUCGAAGUCAUCACAACCAUAAAAAGAUAAAGCAACAUUCCGUUCUGAAUACAAACAGGAACAAGGGGGCUAGGGUUGGAAAACGGUGCAUCUUAACUGAGUGUCAACGGAAACAUCCUACAGAUGAAGACGUAAAUGGAGAAUCAAAGCUUUUUCAAAGAUUAUAUCAAGGACUCGGAGUCUACAAUCACACACAUGCAGAUCAAACGGAGUAUAUUGAAGGAGCCAGAAGUAUCGACGAAUAUGUGUGGUGUUUAACUUGAAUUGUUUGUCUUAUGUGAACGAACAACAUUAAAACAAAUUUAAUAAA